Molecule: transfer RNA, 68 nt
Filed under: Pila conica
Lineage: Eukaryota; Metazoa; Mollusca; Gastropoda; Architaenioglossa; Ampullariidae
Description: tRNA-Leu
Rfam family: tRNA
About the family: Transfer RNA (tRNA) molecules are approximately 80 nucleotides in length.
Source: RNAcentral
ACAAAAAUGGCAGAUAAGUGCGUUAGAUUUAGAACCUAGAUAUAAAGAAGUGUAUUCUUUUUUUUGUA